This 255-nucleotide ribosomal RNA is filed under the name uncultured bacterium. RNAcentral's name for it is "partial 16S ribosomal RNA". It matches the Rfam family "Bacterial small subunit ribosomal RNA", at positions 29 to 306 of the family's 1533-position model. The record is from RNAcentral.
AGCGAACGCUGGCGGCAUGCUUAACACAUGCAAGUCGCACGGGAGGGGCAACCCUUCAGUGGCGGACGGGUGAGUAACGCGUAGGUAUCUGUCUCUGGGUGGGGGAUUAACCAUCGGGAAACUAUGGCUAAUACCGCAUGAAGCCUGGAGGGCCAAAGCAGCGAUGCGCCUGGAGAGGAGCCUGCGUACGAUUAGCUAGUUGGUGGGGUAAAGCCCACAAGGCGACGAUCGUUAGCUGGUCUGAGAGGAUGAUCA